Molecule: ribosomal RNA, 502 nt
Filed under: uncultured Glomeromycotina
Lineage: Eukaryota; Fungi; Glomeromycota
Description: partial small subunit ribosomal RNA
Rfam family: Eukaryotic small subunit ribosomal RNA
Source: RNAcentral
CCAAUAGCGUAUAUUAAAGUUGUUGCAGUUAAAAAGCUCGUAGUUGAAUUUCGGGAUUUGUCAGUUGGUCGGGCUUCACUGUCCGUACUGACUUGAUGGAUUCCUACCUUCUGAAUAACCAGCAUGCUAUUAAGUUAGUGCGUUGGGGAAGCAGAUCUAUUACCUUGAAAAAAUUAGAGUGCUUAAAGCAGGCUAGUGCUUGAAUAGAUUAGCAUGGAAUAAUAAAAUAGGACGGCAUGGUUCUAUUUUGUUGGUUUCUAGGAUCACCGUAAUGAUUAAUAGGGAUAGUUGGGGGCAUUAGUAUUCAAUUGUCAGAGGUGAAAUUCUUGGAUUUAUUGAAGACUAACUUCUGCGAAAGCAUUUGCCAAGGAUGUUUUCAUUAAUCAAGAACGAAAGUUAGGGGAUCGAAGACGAUCAGAUACCGUCGUAGUCUUAACCAUAAACUAUGCCGACUAGGAAUCGGACGAAGUUAAUUUUAUAAUGACUCGUUCGGCACCUUACG